Long non-coding RNA from Bradysia coprophila, 402 nucleotides. The record is from RefSeq and is a predicted model, not a curated record. NCBI's taxonomy places the organism in Eukaryota, Metazoa, Arthropoda, Insecta, Diptera, Sciaridae.
ACACAUCCAACAACACUGGCGCAUUGUCCACCUUGACUCAUCAACACAUACCAGUUAAUUAAUAGUCCCAACCCUUAUCAUGUUUCCAACCAAUCAGCAUUUGAUAACAGUUUGUUUACAUUCAGAUGACGCGACGUGCUUCGUCUUCUCUGGGUCAGUUUGUCCAGAGUUUUUUUCAGUAUUGUUGUAACCAAUUGCACUUUGCAUGGUUUGAGUCAGUUUUUAUAUCACGACGAUUUCCUCAUUAAGGAAUUAAAGAAACUACAGAGCCCUAAAGAUGGUUUGAUUCCAAACCGAAACUUUGGAAUUUAAAAAAAAACAGUUUUUUCAUUUGGCACGAUAACCCUCAGCAACACAACGUCCUCCUGAAUAAAUUAUCUGCAUGUGCCAGCAAGACAACAA